GUGCCAGCUUUAACAACACAGAUACUAACACUGGAACAAUAUAAAGAAGCUUAGCUUGGCCCUUGCAAAAGGAUGACAUGCAAAUUCAAGGAGCAUUCCAUAUUUUG
Small nuclear RNA from Phyllostomus hastatus (greater spear-nosed bat), 107 nucleotides. The record is from RefSeq and is a predicted model, not a curated record. NCBI's taxonomy places the organism in Eukaryota, Metazoa, Chordata, Mammalia, Chiroptera, Phyllostomidae.